This 2547-nucleotide ribosomal RNA is filed under the name Triticum aestivum (bread wheat). Its description in RNAcentral is "partial small subunit ribosomal RNA". Lineage: Eukaryota; Viridiplantae; Streptophyta; Magnoliopsida; Poales; Poaceae. The record is from RNAcentral.
CCCACCACCACCGUAUCUCUUCUCUCCUCUGUUCCUCUCGCACAACAGAAGAAAAACCAACUACCUCCUCCUACGCUCCGAUGGCCGCAGCGGUGGUCGACGCAGCGGUGCCGGUGGCGGCGAAGGCGAACGGCGCCGGGGCGAGGUGCUGCGCGGCGAAGGGGCCCGGGUACGCCACGCCCAGGGAGGCCAUGGAGAAGGGCCCGCGGGAGGGGCUCCUCUACGUCACCUGCGUCUACAAUGGUACUGGAAUCGACAAGCCGGAUUACCUGGCCACGGUGGACGUCGACCCAAAUUCAGCGACCUACUCCCAGGUGAUCCACAGGCUCCAGGCGACCCACAUCGGCGACGAGCUGCAUCACUCUGGCUGGAACGCCUGCAGCUCCUGCCACGGCGAUCCAUCCACGAGCCGGCGCUUCUUGAUUCUUCCUUCGUUGCUGUCUGGCCGUUUGUAUGUGGUCGACACUGCGAAGAAUCCGAGGGCGCCUGCUCUGCACAAGGUUGUCCAGGCUGAGGACAUUGCUGAGAAGACCGGGCUUGGGUUCCCUCACACAUCCCAUUGCCUUGCAACCGGUGACAUAAUGAUUUCUUGUCUGGGAGACAAGGAGGGAAAUGCUGCUGGCAAUGGCUUUCUCUUGCUGGAUUCAGAAUUUAACGUCAAAGGACGUUGGGAAAAGCCAGGUCACAGCCCCUUGUUUGGCUAUGAUUUCUGGUACCAGCCUCGUCACAAGACGAUGAUCAGCUCUUCAUGGGGAGCCCCGGCAGCUUUCAGGACAGGUUUUGAUCUCCAGCAUGUCCAGGAUGGUCUCUAUGGAAGGCACCUGCAUGUGUAUGACUGGCCUGGUGGUGAGCUCAAGCAGACACUGGAUCUAGGGAGCACAGGUCUUCUUCCGCUGGAGGUGAGGUUUUUACAUGAUCCAUCAAAGGACACUGGCUAUGUUGGCUGUGCUUUAACAAGCAACAUGGUGAGAUUCUUCAAAACUGCAGAUGGAUCAUGGAGCCAUGAGGUAGCUAUAUCCAUAAAACCGUUGAAGGUGCGCAACUGGAUACUGCCAGAAAUGCCAGGAUUGAUAACUGACUUUGUCAUCUCUCUCGAUGACCGUUAUCUCUACUUGGUCAAUUGGCUUCAUGGGGAUAUCAGGCAGUACAACAUUGAGGACCCUGCAAAGCCUGUGUUGGCUGGACAAGUGUUUGUAGGUGGGCUUCUUCAAAAGGGCAGUGAUGUUGUCUAUGUGACCGACGAUGACAAAGAAGAGCAGUAUGCUGUGCCUGAAGUCAAGGGGCAUCGGCUUAGAGGUGGGCCGCAGAUGAUUCAGCUGAGCUUGGAUGGCAAGAGGGUGUAUGUGACCAACUCUCUCUUCAGCCGGUGGGACGAGCAGUUCUACGGCCCUGACCUUCUCAAGAAGGGAUCUCACAUGUUGCAGAUCGACGUCGACACUGAGGAAGGAGGGCUGGCUGUCAACCCCAACUUCUUUGUUGAUUUCGGGACCGAGCCUGAAGGUCCCUCCUUGGCCCAUGAGAUGAGAUAUCCUGGUGGAGACUGCACCUCUGACAUAUGGAUCUAGGAGGAAGGGUGUAGGACACAGGCAGCUGGAGAUCCAUGGUGUUGAGCUCACUGUAAUUAAAAUGGUCUCUUCCCCGCCUGCGGUGUUGUAUGUGAUGUGGUAUCAAUUGGAAUAAGUUCCUGAUAGAACCUCUGACAUUGGCUUCAUGGGAGCUUUGGGCCCUAAUAAGAGUUGCCUCUGAUUCUGAAAUUUCUGAUGCUGUUGAAGGCCUUGUUAUAUCUUCUGCUUGAAAUUUUCUAAUCGAGAAUGAUUGAGCUGGAAGCAAAGUAACGCAUGCAAUUGCCCUAUAUUAAUCAGAGAUAUAAUGCUAUUUCACCAAAAUCAAAUAGUCUUUCUUGCAACCAACAGCAUGCAUGAUCUUGUAACCAAAAUUACAUAUGUCAGUUGAUUGCUCUGACUGAAUUUGAGUUUUCACCAACUAAAGCAGCCCAUUUUCGCUGCUGCAGACCUUGUAAAUAUAUUUACAGGUGUUUUUGCCUCAGCUUCUUCUGUGGCCUAACCCCUCAGGACCCCUUGAACGGCGAUGCGGCUUCGCUGAUGAUUCACGACGAGAGUGUGAAUGACCAGAAAGUCACAAGAAUGUUGUGGGAGGUACGCCAAGCCUGAAGAUAUAGGCAUAUCUCCGGAGGCGGAGGAGAGUGAUAUGAGAUUAUUAUUGGCCACGCAUGGUUAGCUCACUCAGUAACUCAGUGUACAAGAUCAUCAUGUAUCUCUAUCUGUUUGUACAUGCUGAAGAAAGUCAUCAGCCAUCGGUCUGUCUCGCCUGAAAUCAGUUUCAGUCCCAGCUCUCGUAUGAAAUUGUGAAUAACUUGCCAUUUGGUUAUGUUGCCCUUCAAUUUGUAGGAGAUAUCUGCCUGUGAUUUCCAGUUCAUGUUACUAGUAGUAUAUGUUUUCCUAGCCUCAACUGUAAGUUAACAUCGCCAUUGGGAAGAGUGCAAAGAUUGCAUCUUAUUCUUGCGUUGCUAAGAUGUAGUAGUAGCAU